UAAGAGGUCCCGCCUGCCCAGAGAAUCCUUUAUCAACGGCCGCGGUAUUUUGACCGUGCAAAGGUAGCGUAAUCAUUUGUCUUUUAAAUGAAGACCUGUAUGAAUGGCUCGACGAGGGCUAAGCUGUCUCCUUUUUCAGGUCAAUGAAAUUGAUCUCCCCGUGCAAAAGCAGGGAUAUAUACAUAAGACGAGAAGACCCUAUGGAGCUUUAGAUGCCACGGCAAGCGUUACCUGCUACUUCCAAACAAAGGAACACCCACUAGCUUCUGCCUCAGCAUCUUCGGUUGGGGUGACCAUGGGGAACAAAAAACCCCCACGAUGCACUGAGAUGUCUAUAAGACCCUGACACAUCCUCUCAAACAAGAGCCGCAGCUCUAAUUAACAGAAUUUCUGACUACCGAUCCGGCAACGCCGAUUAACGAACCAAGUUACCCUAGGGAUAACAGCGCAAUCCCCUUCAAGAGCCCAUAUCGACAAGGGGGCUUACGACCUCGAUGUUGGAUCAGGACAUCCUAAUGGUGUAACCGCUAUUAAGGGUUCGUUUGUUCAACG
Molecule: ribosomal RNA, 552 nt
Filed under: Centropomus medius
Lineage: Eukaryota; Metazoa; Chordata; Actinopteri; Centropomidae
Description: partial 16S ribosomal RNA
Rfam family: Bacterial large subunit ribosomal RNA
Source: RNAcentral